This 496-nucleotide ribosomal RNA is filed under the name uncultured bacterium. RNAcentral's name for it is "partial 16S ribosomal RNA". It matches the Rfam family "Bacterial small subunit ribosomal RNA", at positions 29 to 507 of the family's 1533-position model. The record is from RNAcentral.
AUGAACGCUGGCGGCGUGCCUAAUACAUGCAAGUCGAGCGAACAGACGAGGAGCUUGCUCCUCUUACGUUAGCGGCGGACGGGUGAGUAACACGUGGAUAACCUACCUAUAAGACUGGGAUAACUUCGGGAAACCGGAGCUCAUACCGGAUAAUAUAUUGAACCGCAUGGUUCAAUAGUGAAAGACGGUUUUGCUGUCACUUAUAGAUGGAUCCGCGCCGCAUUAGCUAGUUGGUAAGGUAACGGCUUACCAAGGCAACGAUGCGUAGCCGACCUGAGAGGGUGAUCGGCCACACUGGAACUGAGACACGGUCCAGACUCCUACGGGAGGCAGCAGUAGGGAAUCUUCCGCAAUGGGCGAAAGCCUGACGGAGCAAUGCCGCGUGAAUGAUGAAGGUCUUCGGAUCGUAAAACUCUGUUAUUAGGGAAGAACAAAUGUGUAAGUAACUAUGCACGUCUUGACGGUACCUAAUCAGAAAGCCACGGCUAACUACGUG